This 72-nucleotide transfer RNA is filed under the name Heliaster helianthoides. RNAcentral describes it as "tRNA-Leu". It matches the Rfam family "tRNA". Rfam says of the family: Transfer RNA (tRNA) molecules are approximately 80 nucleotides in length. Lineage: Eukaryota; Metazoa; Echinodermata; Asteroidea; Forcipulatida; Heliasteridae. The record is from RNAcentral.
GUUUAAAUAGCAAAAGGGUUAAUGCCCGAGAUUUAGGAUCUUGUAUUGAGAGUUCGAUUCUUUCUUUAAACU